UACGGAGGUUGCAAGCGUUGUUCGGAAUUACUGGGCGUAAAGGGAGCGCAGGCGGCUUGGCCAGUCUGAAGUGAAAGCCCGGAGCUCAACUCCGGAAGUGCUUUGGAUACUACCAAGCUUGAGUUCGUGAGAGGAAAGCGGAAUUCCAGGUGUAGCGGUGAAAUGCGUAGAUAUCUGGAGGAACACCGGUGGCGAAGGCGGCUUUCUGGCGCGAUACUGACGCUGAGGCUCGAAAGCGUGGGGAGCGAACGGG
This 253-nucleotide ribosomal RNA is filed under the name uncultured bacterium. RNAcentral's name for it is "partial 16S ribosomal RNA". It matches the Rfam family "Bacterial small subunit ribosomal RNA", at positions 524 to 776 of the family's 1533-position model. The record is from RNAcentral.